This 87-nucleotide transfer RNA is filed under the name Novosphingobium sp. AP12. It matches the Rfam family "tRNA". Rfam says of the family: Transfer RNA (tRNA) molecules are approximately 80 nucleotides in length. Their secondary structure includes four short double-helical elements and three loops (D, anti-codon, and T loops). Further hydrogen bonds mediate the characteristic L-shaped molecular structure. tRNAs have two regions of fundamental functional importance: the anti-codon, which is responsible for specific mRNA codon recognition, and the 3' end, to which the tRNAs corresponding amino acid is attached (by aminoacyl-tRNA synthetases). tRNAs cope with the degeneracy of the genetic code in two manners: having more than one tRNA (with a specific anti-codon) for a particular amino acid; and 'wobble' base-pairing, i.e. permitting non-standard base-pairing at the 3rd anti-codon position. Lineage: Bacteria; Pseudomonadati; Pseudomonadota; Alphaproteobacteria; Sphingomonadales; Sphingomonadaceae. The record is from Rfam by way of RNAcentral.
GGAAGCGUGGCCGAGUGGUUGAUGGCACUAGUCUUGAAAACUAGCGACGAGGUAACUCGUUCGUGGGUUCGAAUCCCACCGCUUCCG